Clupea harengus (Atlantic herring) is the source of this 2961-nucleotide long non-coding RNA. NCBI's taxonomy places the organism in Eukaryota, Metazoa, Chordata, Actinopteri, Clupeiformes, Clupeidae. The record is from Ensembl.
CACACACACACACACACACACACGGACACACACACACACACACUCUCUCUCUCUCUCUCUCUCUCACACACACACACACUCUCUCUCUCUCUCUCUCUCUCUCACACACACACACACACACACACCUCACUCUGUGCAGUCACACAUGAAGGAGGACAUUUCUGGUCAUUGUCACUGCACUCAUCAGCUGUGCAGCUGUUACACGUCCAUGCUUAGUGUUUCAGUGCAGCGCAAUUGAUGUGAUUGCGAGAGAUGUGUAACAGUAGGUCAGGUCAUUACUAGUUCCCCCCUCUCUGUGAUCUGUGGAGUUUAAUUUGUGUGCGGUGAAGCUCACAAGGUCAAGGCCCUCUCACCCUCUACAUCUGGCACACACUCCACGCACAUGUGUGUUUGGUAUACUAGACAGCAUUUACACAGAGUCCAUCUGUAAUCCAGUUUAUCAUUGGCACAGCCAGCAAAGCGCUGGGUCAGUUUGAGCCCUCUCACGAUUUCCUCGGACGUAGAUUGACAGAGACGUGUGCUUCUGUUUUGCCUCUGACUGACACGCUUCGCUAGGGACGCAGAGCUAGGCUAACCCUAGCCUUGAACUGGAUACCCCUGGACCAUAAUCAUCUUAGCCAUGAUAUACCGCCAAACCUGUUUAAAUUAAAGGCAAUAAGACAGAAUAUUUUAAAAAGUCCUUUUUAAAAGUUGUAACUAAAGCUGACUAAUUUGGUAAAGACAGUGGUUUCUCUAAUACAUGUAUUUGUAUGUUUGCCUUGUCGUGUCCUCCUUGCCCAGGAGGGUUCGACGGACAGUCUGUACCGGCCGGCGGAGCACAGCAAUGGCUCCCAGGACAGCGGCAAGCUUCCCAGCAAGCCGAGCAGCCCCAGGCCUCUGCGGGAGAGUGCCAAGUGGCGCGGCUCGGAGCCCUGCAUCGCCACGGUGGGCGUGAAGGUAGCUACCGCUCAAACCUGGCUAGUCUUACAGUUUUACAACCCUGUUGGUCCUGUGGUGUACAGAUAGCUACCGCUCAAACCUGGCUAGUCUUACAGUUUUACAACCCUGUUGGUCCUGUGGUGUACAGAUAGCUACCGCUCAAACCUGGCUAGUCUUACAGUUAUACAACCCUGUUUGGAGUAAAGUAGGAUACAAGACUAGAAGGUGUCACCAUUUAGCUACUUGUCCAAAUUGUGAUUUUGGGAUUUUUGGACCUUUGGUUUUCAAAUUUUACAUUUUAAAGUUUUUUGUAAACAUAGUGAAUCUUGAAAUGUAAAUGUAAGUAAACUUAUUGAUUGAUCUUGGUACUGCAAAUUAAAAUGCUUUCACUAAAACAGCAGUACGUGUACAUGCAAUAGAGCUGUGAAAUCAGCGAUAAUGGAAUAUAUUGUACAAAAUGUCUAAUGCGGCAUUCUUCGAAAAUAAUCCCUGAAUUGCAAUGUUUUGCAAAGUAUUUAAAUAAAAAAUACACUUAUGCUGCAUUUUGUACAUCUUUUUCAAGUAGUGAUUUUCUUCCCUGUGACCCUCAGGAACAGAGUCGCACAUCAAGUUUAAAGAAGGCUAAAAGAAGGUAAGUUUGCAUGCACGUCUCACACGCUGACUGGUGUGGCAGUCUAGGGCUAAGCCUGACUAAUGGGAAAGGGAAACCAUGCUAAGCUCUAGAUAACCUCCGCUAAUGACUUAAGUAGAGGCCCCUAACGUGUUUGUCGUUAACAUUUGUCCCGCAGUAAGUUUCAGACUGGGCCGGGAGUUGGUGUCACAUGGUCAGGACCAAACUAGCUUUGAAAGCCUCAUCUUCUCCACCAUAGACCCCUGAUGUCAGGACUGACUCUGACACCACACUAACUGCUGUGCUUAGAAACAGAUAUGAACCGUGUAAUCAAUGUCAUCUAUGUAUAUCCAGACUGAUAUUUCAUUCCGGAUUUGAAUCCAGAAAUUUGAUUCCUGACUCUACUGUAUACCACUGAGAUAUAUUCCAUUUCUAGUACAGAGGUACUUGGUGUUGCUGAGAUGGUAUACUUCAGGCAGUAACCCAUGUACUCUCACUUCUUUAGAUUCAGUUCUUCAUUUAGAUUUUUUUAUUGACGUCUGGAGAGAUUUAGUAUAAUCAGGAAAAAAGGCAGUCUAGGUAGGGUCGGAACAUUUCAUCGCUCCCUCCAAAUCACCAACACACUUGACAAACAGGACCCACAAAUAAUAUUCCCAGGCAAAUUGAAAUACAUACAAAUAUAUUGUCUUAUAUAUAUUGUAUAUACCUUCUCUGUAUUGAGGUGGUAUUGGUUGUAGCUUUUAGCGCCAUCGUUCUCUUUAUUAUCAGCAUGAUUUGGUUCUCUAUCGUACUGUUUUCAAUAGAAUACCACACACAGUUUUGUCUCAAUCUCCAGUAACUCUCUGGGGGGUUAUUACAGGUCACACAUAGUUGAGGGGAGGUUAUCUACAGCCAACGAGGCUCUAGGUGAGUAUGACUUCCAUCGCUCCCCUCUGUUAUCCUCUGUUUUCCCUAUUCGUUCAUCAGAUCAAGCAUAUUUUUCCACCAUGUAUCUUACUGAGCCCAGACUGUCACAAAUGUGUGUGUGUGUGUGUGUGUGUCUCUCUCUCUCUCUCUCUCUCUCUUUGAGUGUGUGUGUGUGUGUGUGUGUGUGUGUGUGUGUGUGUGUUUCUCUCUCUCUCUCUCUCUUUGAGUGUGUGUGUGUGUGUGUUUUACAAACCUACUUGGCAAAGCACUUUGCUUUUGGAGCUCAGUUUCAUUUCUUUUGGUCGUCCCAGUGCUCUGCCUCUACUAUAAAAAGCUUAAUGUCUCUGCCCACACCCCUCUCUCCUCUCUGUGCAGAUAUUCCAGAUUGUAGUAACGUGUACUGGCAGGCUUCCAGACAGAAAGAGGUCUGGGUUCAAACCAAGAAUGGUCAGAAUAAAGGUAAGGAAUCAAUGUUGUGUGUGUGUGUCUCUCUCUGUGUGUGGGGGUGUGUGUGUCUGUGUGUGUGU